Molecule: ribosomal RNA, 544 nt
Filed under: Longpotamon depressum
Lineage: Eukaryota; Metazoa; Arthropoda; Malacostraca; Decapoda; Potamidae
Description: partial 16S rRNA
Rfam family: Bacterial large subunit ribosomal RNA
Source: RNAcentral
GUUUGUUUGGAGUUAUAAAGAAUUUAACCUGCCCCCUGAUUAAUUAUUAAAGGGCCGCAGUAUUAUAACUGUGCAAAGGUAGCAUAAUCAUUAGGUUUUUAAUUGAAAUCUCGUAUGAAUGGUUGGACAAAAGAAAAACUCUCUUUAUAUUAAGUUUUGAAUUUAACUUUUAAGUGAAAAGGCUUAAAUGUCCUAAAGGGACGAUAAGACCCUAUAAAACUUUACAUUGUCAUUAAUUUUGAUUGAAUUUAUGAAAUAAGAAUUUUAUUUGGUUAUUUGUUAUGUUGGGGAGAUAUAAGUAAAAUAUUUUUUUAACUGCUUUGAUAGUUAUACAAUUAUAAGUGGUAAGUAGAAGAUCCUUUUUAAAGAUUAAUAGAUUAAGUUACUUUAGGGAUAACAGUGUGAUUUCUUUUGAGAGUUCUUAUCGAAAAAGGAGAUUGCAACCUCGAUGUUGAAUUAAAAUAUCUAUAUAAUGGAGAGGUUAUAUAAGAAGGUCUGUUCGACCUUGAAAUUUUUACAUGAUUUGAGUUCAAACCGGUGUAAG